UCGGCCCUGAAUGAAGGCCAUCGAUUUGCUGUAAUCGUUGGUUUCAAGCAGGAGCCCAAAGGAAUGUCUUCCUGUGGUCUGUUGGCUGUUCCAGAGCCUCAGAGGGGAACAGCCAAUUCAUAUGGAAGCAACAAGC
This 136-nucleotide small nucleolar RNA is filed under the name Pelusios castaneus (West African mud turtle). Lineage: Eukaryota; Metazoa; Chordata; Testudines; Pelomedusidae. The record is from RNAcentral.